GACGAACGCUGGCGGCGUGCUUAACACAUGCAAGUCGUACGGUAAGGCCCUUUCGGGGGUACACGAGUGGCGAACGGGUGAGUAACACGUGAGUAACCUGCCCACAACUUUGGGAUAACGCUAGGAAACUGGUGCUAAUACUGGAUAUGUGCCCCUGCUGCAUGGUGGGGGUUGGAAAGCUCCGGCGGUUGUGGAUGGACUCGCGGCCUAUCAGCUUGUUGGUGGGGUAGUGGCCUACCAAGGCGGCGACGGGUAGCCGGCCUGAGAGGGUGACCGGCCACAUUGGGACUGAGAUACGGCCCAGACGCCUACGGGAGGCAGCAGUGGGGAAUAUUGCACAAUGGGCGCAAGCCUGAUGCAGCAACGCCGCGGGCGGGAUGACGGCCUUCGGGUUGUAAACCGCUUUCAGCAGGGACGAAGCUUUUUGUGACGGUACCUGCAGAAGAAGCACCGGCUAACUACGUG
RNAcentral lists this ribosomal RNA (465 nucleotides) under uncultured bacterium. RNAcentral describes it as "partial 16S ribosomal RNA". It matches the Rfam family "Bacterial small subunit ribosomal RNA", at positions 28 to 507 of the family's 1533-position model. The record is from RNAcentral.